This 253-nucleotide ribosomal RNA is filed under the name uncultured bacterium. RNAcentral describes it as "partial 16S ribosomal RNA". It matches the Rfam family "Bacterial small subunit ribosomal RNA", at positions 524 to 776 of the family's 1533-position model. The record is from RNAcentral.
UACAGAGGGUGCGAGCGUUAAUCGGAAUGACUGGGCGUAAAGCGCGCGUAGGCGGUUAUACAAGUUGGGUGUGAAAUCCCUGGGCUUAACCUAGGAAUUGCAUUCAAAACUAUAUGACUUGAGUGGAGUAGAGGCAAGUGGAAUUUCCGGAGUAGCGGUGAAAUGCGUAGAUACCGGAAGGAACACCAGUGGCGAAGGCGACUUGCUGGGCUUUAACUGACGCUGAGGUGCGAAAGCGUGGGGAGCAAACAGG